ACCGGGCUGGCUCAAUCAUUAGAGCAUGUGACUCUUGAUCUCAGGUUGAGGGUUCAAGCCCCAUGUUGGGCA
Molecule: transfer RNA, 72 nt
Filed under: Ursus americanus (American black bear)
Lineage: Eukaryota; Metazoa; Chordata; Mammalia; Carnivora; Ursidae
Also listed under: 2 other names
Rfam family: tRNA
About the family: Transfer RNA (tRNA) molecules are approximately 80 nucleotides in length. Their secondary structure includes four short double-helical elements and three loops (D, anti-codon, and T loops).
Source: Rfam by way of RNAcentral